RNAcentral lists this ribosomal RNA (782 nucleotides) under Niphargus virei. RNAcentral's name for it is "partial 28S ribosomal RNA". The record is from RNAcentral. Lineage: Eukaryota; Metazoa; Arthropoda; Malacostraca; Amphipoda; Niphargidae.
GCUCAGAGUAUAAGCCAAUGGAGCUUGGAAGGCUUCCGCAUAUCCCGUUCAUCAUACGUGGUGUUCGCAAGGCAUGAAGCGCGGUUCGUUAGGUGGAGCAUUGAGUUUGCCGCCCAACUGUCGUGCGGGGAGGAGGUUCGGGUGUUUUAGGCUUCGGCCGAACAGCGCCCGGCCGUCUCCUUUUGAAUGAGCGUUCAGAGCUUCCGUGUCUAAUGCGGUCACGCCCACCACGGCCCGUUGUGAGGUCACCCACAGGCUCAAACUGCCGAUCGCGCAUCCAGGACGAUGUGGCAAUGACGCGUUGUGCUUUUGACUGGCUGCUUUUUUGUGUGCGUCGGUUAUCACGCGUGCCUAGUCCUGGGUCGGGCGGCGACCGAGAUAAACCUGGUAUGAUCCUCUUGCGACGAGUUGCUUUCUGGCCAGACCGACGUCCAGGCGCUUCCACUGUGCCGGAAGCGUCAACCCCAGGCGGUGUGAACCCAGCUGCAAUUACGCAUGGUCUCUCAGCCGGGCGUUGGUCUGAGUGGUGUUAAGUCCAGCACCGUCGGUCACGUCUCGAAACACGGGCCAAGGAGUAUAGCAUGUGUGCAAGUCUAAGGGUCUCCCAAAACCCGAAGGCGAAGUGAAAGCAAGACUGUGGCGGGGGAGCUACGGCGAACCCGCCGGCCAUGUGGCGACGCUUGCGUUGCCUGGCUUCUAACAGAGCUGAUCCUGCUUUGUCGGUUAAUUCUUGGUGCAGGCGCAAGCUCCGGGCUCACGUACAACACCGGUGACGCUUCGUG